AUGGAGGAUCUCCCAGAGCCACUGCUUGCAGAGAUCGUCAAGAGGAUUACCCAGACAAGUGAUCUUAAUUCUCUUUCCCUUGUGUCGAAGCAGCUCUGCAUCGUCGAGGCGGAGCACAGGUAUGCUAUCCGCAUUGGCCGUGGACUCAAUCCUUCAACAGAAGCCUUGGUAUCUCUCUUCUCCCAGUUCCCCAAUUUGGCGAAAGUAGAGAUCGAUUACUCUGGGUGGAAGUCUACUGACGUGGAGCAGUUGAACAACCAAGGCCUCUAUGUGCUAUCAUCUCACUGCCCCUCGUUGUCUGAUCUUGCUUUAAGCUUCUGCUCAUACAUCGACGACACUGGUCUUGGUUAUCUAUCUGACUGCAAAAAUUGA
This 372-nucleotide ribosomal RNA is filed under the name Triticum aestivum (bread wheat). Its description in RNAcentral is "partial small subunit ribosomal RNA". Lineage: Eukaryota; Viridiplantae; Streptophyta; Magnoliopsida; Poales; Poaceae. The record is from RNAcentral.